ACGCCGCAGACGCCUCCCUCCCGUUCCUCUUCCGGGCGCGGGUGCACACCUCCGCCGCCCCCUUCCCGAUUCCCCCCAAAUCCAAGCAAUGGAGCGAGCGGUCGCCAAGGAUUCCGCGCUGCCAGCACUGGCUCCUCCCUCCCGUACGGCCCCGCGCCGCAGCGCGGCGCCAUUCGCCACCUCCGCCUCGCCUCCCCUUGCCGCCGCUGCAGGGGGUCCUCCUGCUCGUCCUCCCUCCUCGAGGAUCCAAACCCUAACGAAGGGGUCCGAUCGAUGGGGGGAGGAAGGAGGCGGCGUCUACAACGAUGGACGCCGUCGCUGCGUGGUCGUCGCACGUCUGUAGGUCCGCGGGGACUGCGCGUUACGCCUCUCCGCGUGGCCGCGGCACGGCUGGAGGACCACAGGUCCACAGCGACGGCGUGUGACGACCCCACCACCUUGCCGUGCCGUCUCCACUGGCCAUAAAUCUGUAAGACUGUAAAAGUCUGAUUCCUGACCAGGAGUAGGAUCACUGGUGAAUGGAAGAUGUGCUUUCAGGAUCUAUCUAAUCAGGCAACAGUCUGACAGUUUCGGAACAGGCUCCUAGUUGAAGCAAAAUGGAGACCUUUUUGCAUGAACCUGUUCAUGUUUUUUCUAUUUGAACCCGAGCGUCUUAUCACAGAUGGCUUGUGUAAUAUUCCAUCACAUGGUUCCUUACUUUCUCAUUCAGUUACUGGAGUAAGUCAUGGACAUUACGGAAUGGCAAGCCCGGUCCCGGUAAAGAUUCCAUCAGGGGAAAAGGGUUCAGUUUGUGGUAGUUGAGUUGAACGUCCUCCUUUGAUACGGACCUACGAGAUCCCAGUGGCGUUGUCCUCCCAUCCACCAGAAGGCUAUGGCCACAGCAAGCAAGCAAGCGGCGGCGCACAGGGGGCGGCGGCAACGAGCAGGGGAAGGCGUGGCCGGCGGGCGCAGCGGCGGUAGGCGCAGGCGGCAGCCAACGGGUGUUGGCAUGCGCAAGCGGCGGCUGGCGGCGGCCUCCAUCAAGCGCGUAGGCGGUGGACAGCACGGGCACGGUGGAGUCCCUAUAUUUUUCAGGCUGGCACGACAAGAAAGUAGGCCUGUGGGCUCGUGCUUGGUCCGAGAACUCGGCACGGCACAGCCCGUUAGCAUGAUUCCAUGUUUCUAAUGGCACAUAUUCGCCGAAGUUUUUUUUCCUGGUUCAUUGAAGUUCCGAGGAGCCGCCAUCAGUGAAUAUGGAUCAAUGCUUGAUUAAUCAACAAUGUUGAGAACUUGAGAUACAAGUUUGUUGUGGUGACCAAUAACAUAACGUCCCCUCUUGCAUGUUUUAUUGUAAGUUUGCAUUUGAUUUGCUCCA
Molecule: long non-coding RNA, 1354 nt
Organism: Panicum hallii
Lineage: Eukaryota; Viridiplantae; Streptophyta; Magnoliopsida; Poales; Poaceae
Exons: 6
Source: RefSeq, a predicted model, not a curated record